GCGGGUGUAGCUCAGCGGUAGAUCGCCUGCUUGCCAAGCAGGAGGUCGCGGGUUCGAAUCCCGUCGCCCGCUCCA
Molecule: transfer RNA, 75 nt
Filed under: Thermotogota bacterium
Lineage: Bacteria; Thermotogati; Thermotogota
Also listed under: 2 other names
Description: Thermotogae bacterium tRNA-Gly
Rfam family: tRNA
About the family: Transfer RNA (tRNA) molecules are approximately 80 nucleotides in length.
Source: RNAcentral